This 315-nucleotide ribosomal RNA is filed under the name uncultured eukaryote. RNAcentral's name for it is "partial 18S ribosomal RNA". It matches the Rfam family "Eukaryotic small subunit ribosomal RNA", at positions 1470 to 1796 of the family's 1831-position model. The record is from RNAcentral.
CCCUUAGAUGUCCUGGGCCGCACGCGUGCUACACUGACACUUACACCGAGUUUUUCCAAUGCCGAAAGGCCAUUGGUAAUCAGCAAUAAGUGUCGUGAUGGGGAUAGAUCUUUGGAAUUAUUGAUCUUGAACGAGGAAUGCCUAGUAAUCGUAGGUCAUCAGCCUGCGAUGAUUACGUCCCUGCCCUUUGUACACACCGCCCGUCGCUCCUACCGAUUUCGAGUGGUUCGGUGAACCUUUCGGACCGGCAAUGCCUCGUGUUGCGCCGGAAAGUCAAGUAAACCAUNCNACUUAUNGGAAGGAGAANUCGUANCA